This 73-nucleotide transfer RNA is filed under the name Trichonephila inaurata madagascariensis. It matches the Rfam family "tRNA". Rfam says of the family: Transfer RNA (tRNA) molecules are approximately 80 nucleotides in length. Their secondary structure includes four short double-helical elements and three loops (D, anti-codon, and T loops). Further hydrogen bonds mediate the characteristic L-shaped molecular structure. tRNAs have two regions of fundamental functional importance: the anti-codon, which is responsible for specific mRNA codon recognition, and the 3' end, to which the tRNAs corresponding amino acid is attached (by aminoacyl-tRNA synthetases). tRNAs cope with the degeneracy of the genetic code in two manners: having more than one tRNA (with a specific anti-codon) for a particular amino acid; and 'wobble' base-pairing, i.e. permitting non-standard base-pairing at the 3rd anti-codon position. The record is from Rfam by way of RNAcentral. Lineage: Eukaryota; Metazoa; Arthropoda; Arachnida; Araneae; Nephilidae.
GUCCCUGUAGCACACUGGAUAGCGAGUUGAACUUUUAAUCCAAAGGUCGUGAGUUCGAAUCCCACCUGGGAUG